Molecule: ribosomal RNA, 771 nt
Filed under: uncultured organism
Description: bacterial SSU rRNA
Rfam family: Bacterial small subunit ribosomal RNA
Source: RNAcentral
UUGAUCCUGGCUCAGAGUGAAUGCUAGCGGCGUGGUUAGACAUGCAAAGUCGAACGAUGAAGCCCAGCUUGCUGGGCGGAUUAGUGGCAUACGGGUGCGUAACACGUGAGCAACCUGCCUUGAAGUGGGGAAUAGCCCGGGGAAACCCGGAUUAAUACCGCAUGUGGUCUCUUUUCGCAUGAAAAGACGACUAAAGUUUGUAAUGACUCUUCAAGAGGGGCUCGCGGCCUAUCAGCUUGUUGGUGAGGUAAAAGCUCACCAAGGCAAAGACGGGUAGCUGGUCUGAGAGGAUGAUCAGCCACACUGGAGCUGAGAUACGGUCCAGACACCUACGGGUGGCAGCAGUUUCGAAUCAUUCACAAUGGGGGAAACCCUGAUGGUGCAACGCCGCGUGGAGGAUGACGGCCUUCGGGUUGUAAACUCCUGUCACCAAGGAACAAACGGCAGGUUCAUAGCCUGUCCUGAGUUAACUUGGAGAGGAAGAGGUGGCUAACUCCGUGCCAGCAGCCGCGGUAAUACGGAGACCUCGAGCGUUACUCGGAUUCACUGGGCGUAAAGAGUAUGUAGGCGGUUUGGUAUGUCAGGUGUGAAAGCCCGAAGCUCAACUUCGGAAUUGCGCCUGAAACUACCGGACUUGAGGCCUGGAGAGGGGAGUGGAAUUCCUGGUGUAGCGGUGAAAUGCGUAGAUAUCAGGAGGAACACCAAUGGCGAAGGCAGCUCCCUGGACAGGUUCUGACGCUGAGAUACGAAAGCGUGGGUAGCGAAAGGGAU